Molecule: unclassified non-coding RNA, 356 nt
Filed under: soil metagenome
Description: partial contains 5.8S ribosomal RNA, internal transcribed spacer 2, and large subunit ribosomal RNA
Rfam family: 5.8S ribosomal RNA (bases 1-122)
Source: RNAcentral
GAUGAAGAACGCAGCGAAAUGCGAUACGUAAUGUGAAUUGCAGAUCUCUCAGUGAACCAUCGAAUCUUUGAACGCACAUUGCGCCCCCUGGCAUUCCGGGGGGCAUGCCUGUCCGAGCGUCAUUUCUGCCCUCCAGCCCGGCUGGGUGUUGGGCGCUGUCCCCCCGGGGACACGCCCCAAAGGCAGUGGCGGCGCCGCGUCGGGUCCUCGAGCGUAUGGGGCUUUGUCACCCGCUCGGGACGGACUCGUCGGCGCUGGUCUUCCUCCAGGCGACCCUUCGGGGCUCGUCUUCCUUCGGUUGACCUCGGAUCAGGUAGGGUUACCCGCUGAACUUAAGCAUAUCAAUAAGCGGAGGA